Molecule: long non-coding RNA, 438 nt
Organism: Gasterosteus aculeatus aculeatus (three-spined stickleback)
Lineage: Eukaryota; Metazoa; Chordata; Actinopteri; Perciformes; Gasterosteidae
Source: Ensembl
CUCACUCUUUACUCUCCACAAGGUGGCACUACUUGUUUGUGAAAGCUCUUUGAGUUGUCCAUUGCAUCAAGUUCACAAAGUCCUCACAAGGUCUACUUUUAUUGGCGGAAGGGCUUUAAAGCCUCUGCAGGCGUAACCAGCAGCUUAUGUGUGGAGGCGUGUGUUUACUGCAUCAGUAAAGAUGCAGGGGGAUCACGAUGAAUUAGCAUUGAUGCUCCAAUUAAAGUUGUUAAUGCCAUAGAAAUAUAAGCAGACACGUUUCAUUACCUCUGUGUGGACACACUGUGUUGAGCGGAAAUACAGAAGCGUCUCCUCUGGACAGGAAUGGGAUUCAUUUCCCUUCAGGAGAGAGUCACACCGAGGGAUCAGAGCGAGGACAUCUUUGCAUUAUCUUUGUCUGUAGGUGUCCCUUCGUUGUUACCAAACAAACACGUCAAC